This 500-nucleotide ribosomal RNA is filed under the name Plumatella emarginata. Its description in RNAcentral is "eukaryotic LSU rRNA". The stretch from base 387 to 500 matches the Rfam family "Eukaryotic large subunit ribosomal RNA", at positions 1 to 114 of the family's 3401-position model. Lineage: Eukaryota; Metazoa; Bryozoa; Phylactolaemata; Plumatellidae. The record is from RNAcentral.
CGUGCGUUGGAUUAAUGUGAAUUGCAGGACACAUCGAGCAUCGACAUCUUGAACGCACAUGGCGGCCUCGGGCACUCUCGGGGCCGCGCCCGUCUGAGGGUCGGUUUUGCAUUCGAAUCGCGAGCAUCGUCUCGCGCUCUGCCUGUCGCGCUGGGCUCCUGAGCCUGGCUCGUCGGACUAAAACGAGAUUGGGGUUCACAGUCGUGAACGCGCGUGCUCGUGCGUGCGUGUCGCGCUUGGCGCGCAGACGCAUGCCGUAUAGGAAGCCUGAGCACGGACGGUCACUCGCGGUUGCCAGAAAGACCAACGAGCGAGCCUCCGCGCGUCAAGCUGCCGAGCGUUUGAGCGCUGUGCGCGCGCGCACGCACGCGUCAUCUUUUGCUUUUCGACCUCAGAUCGGACGCGAUUACCCGCUGAAUUUAAGCAUAUCACUAAGCGGAGGAGAAGAAACUAACAAGGAUUCCCGUAGGAAGGGCUAGUGAACGAGGAAGAGCCCAACG